AUUGUCCUGUACGAAGCGUGUGAA
This 24-nucleotide non-coding RNA is filed under the name Arabidopsis thaliana (thale cress). Lineage: Eukaryota; Viridiplantae; Streptophyta; Magnoliopsida; Brassicales; Brassicaceae. The record is from RNAcentral.